RNAcentral lists this ribosomal RNA (253 nucleotides) under uncultured bacterium. Its description in RNAcentral is "partial 16S ribosomal RNA". It matches the Rfam family "Bacterial small subunit ribosomal RNA", at positions 524 to 776 of the family's 1533-position model. The record is from RNAcentral.
UACGUAGGGCGCAAGCGUUGCCCGGAAUUAUUGGGCGUAAAGAGCUCGUAGGCGGUCUGUCGCGUCUGCUGUGAAAUCCCGAGGCUCAACCUCGGGCUUGCAGUGGGUACGGGCAGGCUAGAGUGCGGUAGGGGAGAAUGGAACUCCUGGUGUAGCGGUGGAAUGCGCAGAUAUCAGGAGGAACACCAAUGGCGAAGGCAGCACUCUGGGACGUGACUGACGCUGAGACGCGAAAGCGUGGGGAGCAAACAGG